RNAcentral lists this ribosomal RNA (842 nucleotides) under uncultured Chloroflexota bacterium. RNAcentral describes it as "bacterial SSU rRNA". It matches the Rfam family "Bacterial small subunit ribosomal RNA", at positions 28 to 895 of the family's 1533-position model. Lineage: Bacteria; Bacillati; Chloroflexota. The record is from RNAcentral.
GAUAAACGCUGGCGGUGUGCCUUAUGCAUGCAAGUCGGACGGUCUCGAUUUAUUGAGAUAGUGGCGAACGGGUGAGUAACGCGUAAGUAACCUGCCCCUAAGAGGGGGAUAACUCCGAGAAAUUGGAGCUAAUACCGUAGUGGUAGUGGGGGUAAUGCUCCAUUACUAAAGCCUUAGGGUGCUUAGGGAGGGGCUUGCGUCCGAUUAGCUAGUUGGUAGAGUAAAAGUCUACCAAGGCGACGAUCGGUAGCUGGUUUGAGAGGACGGUCAGCCACGCUGGGACUGAGACACGGCCCAGACUCCUACGGGAGGCAGCAGCAAGGAAUUUUGGGCAAUGGGCGAAAGCCUGACCCAGCGACACCGCGUGGGGGAUGAAGGCCUUCGGGUCGUAAACCCCUUUUCUCAGGGAAGAAUAAUGACGGUACCUGAGGAAUAAGCCUUGGCUAACUACGUGCCAGCAGCCGCGGUAAUACGUAGGAGGCGAGCGUUAUCCGGAUUUACUGGGCGUAAAGAGGGCGUAGGCGGUUCUUCAAGUCGGAUGUAAAAUCUCCCGGCUCAACUGGGAGGGACCAUUCGAUACUGUUGCGCUAGAGGACAGCAGAGGGAGGUGGAAUUCCCGGUGGAGUGGUGAAAUGCGUAGAUAUCGGGAAGAACACCAGUGGCGAAGGCGGCCUCCUGGGCUGUUUCUGACGCUGAGGCCCGAAAGCGUGGGGAGCGAACAGGAUUAGAUACCCUGGUAGUCCACGCCGUAAACGAUGGACACUAGGUAUGGGGAGUAUCGACCCUCUCCGUGCCGAAGCUAACGCUUUAAGUGUCCCGCCUGGGGACACGACCGCAAGGUU